GCGGGGCCGAGGGCAAAGGGCCCAGGAGUGGAUUCUGACAAGGCGGGAAAAUGGAAAGGCCUGGCCGGUCCCAGGGGGCCCUAGGAGAGUACCUGGCUGGGCUGGGGUGGCCGCCAGUUUCCCGGGCUGCAGUGACAGUGUGCGCUUCCCGAGGUGCUGCUCUCUCACAGAGCCGCCCCUCCCCCGAAUGGCUUGGAAAGCACAUCCCUAGCUCCUCCCCACAUCCUAAAUUUUUAUUUUGCGUCUAGCUUAUUUGCUAAAUUGUCCACACCAGGCUCCAGCUUGUCAUCUUCCUGCCUCAGCCUCCCAGACUACUAAGCUAACAGACGCGAGCUACCAUGCUAGACUGCUUCAUUGAAAUUUUGUAGAAAUUGCCGGGGAUUUAGCUCAGUGGUUUCGCCGCCUGCUGCGCAAGCUCAAGGACCCGAGUUCGGUCCCCGGUACCAAAAAAAAAAAAAAAAAAAAAAAGAAAGAGAAAUUUUGUAGAAACUAAAGUCAGUGUGUGUUGCAGAGAAAAAUGGACGUCAGAAUCAGUCAAACAGAAACAAUGAAGGAGGGGCUGCGUAGUGACUCAACCCGGUUACUCCCAUCACCAGAGAUGGAGGCAGGAGAAUCACUGCAAAUUUGGACCGCCUAGAAUACAUUGAGAGACCCUGUCUUGAAAAUAAAACCAAAACCAGGAAUGCUUGAGCCUUUCAUUCCACAGAUGAAAACCCAGCACUUUUACGACAUCUGUGAUUCCAUUUGUUUUUCCUUCCACUGUCCCAGAGGCCUCGCAGCUGCAUUCAGAGGAAGAGGUCACAAGGCUGAUGUGCAGUGCUUUUCAGCUAAGCAGGAGUUGCUCCAGACCCUCCCUCAGAGUGAUCGCUGUUGCCUCCUUCUGUGGACAAAUGGAAAGUUCCUGGAGGAUGAGUGUAGAAGACAGGGAAGAACAGAGGAAGGAAGGAAGGAAGGUUGAAAGUGGCUUCCAAGGGGCCCUAGCCUCCUUCGGCAUCGGCCUUGUUUUCUCUCUGUUUUGGUCACUGCCAUGGUGGCCACUAACAUCUAGGUCUUCAUCUUCUUACAGGGGCUAAAUAGUCUUCCUCAAGCCUAGAAGAAUCACAGAAUUUGAGAUACUGAAAGAUAUUUCAGAAGAUGCAUCCAGGAGCCCAAUCUAUUGUAGUUGAGAAGAUAAACCCAAAAAGUGAUAUUACUUAUUCAAAGUUAAAUAAUGAAUCUACUGCACCCUGAUCUGCUAAGUUAUCUCUGUUGUUCCUCUCCACUGACUGAUCCAACCCAGACAGGAUGGGUACAUGCAAUAAUCUCAGAAUUAGCCAGAGGUUGGAAUCCAUCAUGGAGCUCUGAGAAGAAGCUGCUGCAGCCUCACUGCCUCCUUCACUUCCCGUGAAAACCUUGCAUGCUCUGGAGCCUGGUGAAGAUGGAGCUUUGAGGAGCCUGCCCAUCUGUCUUCCUCAGGGCUGGCCUGGAAUCCACCUCAGUGUUUUCUACCAAUACUGGUCUUUCGAAUAUUGGUACUGGAGAGGCAGGCAGCCUAGACCUUUUGUUCCAGUAGGAAUGGGUUCAGAUUGCUUUGCACUCAUGCCUGGCACCUGGCUCCAAUGGCUUGGAGGUAGCUGGAACAGUUUGAGAUCAUGUGAGUGUUGGUUCUCACUGUCAUCUGGGUUCUUUCAUUGUUCAAUAGGUAGAUUCAAGACUUGUCUCCAGAUGGCCUUUCCACACUGUCUCCUUGGAGGUACAGGCUGACUUCUUACACACUUUCCCCAGGCUCUCAAGAGGAUUAGGCUUGAAACUAGCACACUGUCACUUCUUCCAGUUCUGUC
Long non-coding RNA from Heterocephalus glaber (naked mole-rat), 1820 nucleotides. The record is from Ensembl. NCBI's taxonomy places the organism in Eukaryota, Metazoa, Chordata, Mammalia, Rodentia, Bathyergidae.